Molecule: ribosomal RNA, 503 nt
Filed under: Allobates femoralis (brilliant-thighed poison frog)
Lineage: Eukaryota; Metazoa; Chordata; Amphibia; Anura; Aromobatidae
Description: partial 16S ribosomal RNA
Rfam family: Bacterial large subunit ribosomal RNA
Source: RNAcentral
ACAUCGCCUCUUGAUCAAUUAUAAGAGGUCAAGCCUGCCCAGUGACAUUGUUCAACGGCCGCGGUAUCCUAACCGUGCGAAGGUAGCGUAAUCACUUGUCCUUUAAAUAAGGACUAGUAUGAACGGCUUCACGAAGGCUAUACUGUCUCCUUAAUCUAAUCAAUUAAACUAAUCUCCCCGUGAAGAAGCGGGGAUUCGUCUAUAAGACGAGAAGACCCUAUGGAGCUUUAAACAUCUAAGACACUUGAUUCUAUCUAAUAAACUUCAUGCAACCUAUCAUUUUGUCUUAAGUUUUAGGUUGGGGUGACCACGGAGAAAAAUUAAACCUCCACGUAGAAAGAAAAUUCUUUUCUAAGCAAAAAGCCACAUCUUAACGCAUCAAUAAAUUGACUUAAAUUGACCCAAUUUCUUGCUCAACGAACCAAGUUACCCUAGGGAUAACAGCGCAAUCCGCUUUAAGAGCUCCUAUCGACAAGCGGGCUUACGACCUCGAUGUUGGAUCA